Poecilia latipinna (sailfin molly) is the source of this 636-nucleotide long non-coding RNA. RefSeq lists it as uncharacterized. The record is from RefSeq and is a predicted model, not a curated record. The transcript is spliced from 2 exons. Lineage: Eukaryota; Metazoa; Chordata; Actinopteri; Cyprinodontiformes; Poeciliidae.
CCCUUUUCCACCGGCUCUACUCGGCCGGCUCGGCUCGCUUUAAAUGCGUUUCCACCAGCCCUUUUCAACGGGGCUGGCCCUGCUUUUUAGGGUCCUGCUUCAGAGCAGGGCCAGCCGGGCCGGCCCUGGUUUGGUAGGUGACGCAAGCUUCGCUGCUGUUCACUGAUUGGCUGAGGGCGUGGACAAGACGGAGCAGCGGAGAGAGAAGAAAAAUGAAGGCGCAACGUUUGAAACUCGCUGCAACACGGAAGUGAUGGAAGAUACAAACAAGCCGUUAACUAAAAAAAGAUGCCGGCUUUUUUCUUUGCUUCGGAUUUCAAUAUUCAGCGGCAGCUCGAUGGAGCCGUGAGGAAUGAGUCGUUUUUGUCAGUAGUGGAGCGAAUGUAAAGCCUCGUUAGCCGCUUCGGAGCCGACGGAGCCCCACGGUGAACACCGACGCAGACGCAGCUGACGCCGCUGCUGCUCUCCAGCCAGGGAGCAGAAGGAGAGCAACAUGGCUGACAUGAUGGAGAACGAUGAGGAGAACCAUCAGAACAACAGGAUCUCCUUCAGGAGGAAGCAGCUACCAGCAGAUAUGGCAGAGCUCCAUGGAGAGUUGAGACAAACAGAAAAAUAAAAGUUGUUGUGUCUCAGUGA